GAUGAACGCUGGCGGCGUGCCUAAUACAUGCCAGUCGAGCGAACGGACGAGAAGCUUGCUUCUCUGAUGUUAGCGGCGGACGGGUGAGUAACACGUGGAUAACCUACCUAUAAGACUGGGAUAACUUCGGGAAACCGGAGCUAAUACCGGAUAAUAUUUUGAACCGCAUGGUUCAAAAGUGAAAGACGGUCUUGCUGUCACUUAUAGAUGGAUCCGCGCUGCAUUAGCUAGUUGGUAAGGUAACGGCUUACCAAGGCAACGAUGCAUAGCCGACCUGAGAGGGUGAUCGGCCACACUGGAACUGAGAAACGGCCCAGACUCCUACGGGAGGCAGCAGUAGGGAAUCUUCCGCAAUGGGCGAAAGCCUGACGGAGCAACGCCGCGUGAGUGAUGAAGGUCUUCGGAUCGUAAAACUCUGUUAUUAGGGAAGAACAUAUGUGUAAGUAACUGUGCACAUCUUGACGGUACCUAAUCAGAAAGCCACGGCUAACUACGUG
This 497-nucleotide ribosomal RNA is filed under the name uncultured bacterium. Its description in RNAcentral is "partial 16S ribosomal RNA". It matches the Rfam family "Bacterial small subunit ribosomal RNA", at positions 28 to 507 of the family's 1533-position model. The record is from RNAcentral.